RNAcentral lists this ribosomal RNA (252 nucleotides) under uncultured bacterium. RNAcentral's name for it is "partial 16S ribosomal RNA". It matches the Rfam family "Bacterial small subunit ribosomal RNA", at positions 524 to 775 of the family's 1533-position model. The record is from RNAcentral.
UACGAAGGGGGCUAGCGUUGUUCGGAAUUACUGGGCGUAAAGCGCACGUAGGCGGAUAUUUAAGUCAGGGGUGAAAUCCCAGAGCUCAACUCUGGAACUGCCUUUGAUACUGGGUAUCUUGAGUAUGGAAGAGGUAAGUGGAAUUGCGAGUGUAGAGGUGAAAUUCGUAGAUAUUCGCAGGAACACCAGUGGCGAAGGCGGCUUACUGGUCCAUAACUGACGCUGAGGUGCGAAAGCGUGGGGAGCAACAGG